CUCUCAUAGAAACGGUGGUCCAGCAACAGGUGCGAACCGGAACCACCCUAUCAUGUCUUCUUCUUUUUCUCGCUGCCGGCUACAGACGCGGCGGCCGGCCGCCAGCUUCCCUCGCCUUGCCGCCGCCGGCCCCCAGCUUCCCUCGCGCCGCCGCCGGCUCCCAGCUUCCCUCGCGUGCCCCUGCCACUGGCUCCCUCGCGCGGCCGCCGCCUGAGUUUUGCUCGCCCGCUCCCGCUCCUCUGAUCCGUCGCGCGCCCCUGCCCCCGGCUCCCUCGCGCGGCCCCGGCCCCCACUCCCUCGCGCGUCCCUGCGACCAGAUCCCUCGCGUGGCCGCCGACCCCAGCUUCGCUCGCGCACCACCGCCCCCCGGCUCCCUCGCGCGGCCGCCGGCUGCCUCGCGACGGACCGGUCCUCCCCCGCGCCUGCAGGGAUGAGCCAUGGUUCACCGCUGGCGAGGUGCCAUUGAAGAUCCCAGGGUUCCAAAAGGAUUCGAGGGAGCGCGGGCGGUGUUGUGCCUCAGUUCAUACCUUGUUGGCGAUGAUGAUUCGUGAUAGCGCCGUGCUGUUGGAUUGAUGCCGCUCGGGAAGAUUGAUCAGCCAGAAGAAUAAUAGCUUCUGACGACGAUCUGGUCAGCUAAUACAAAAGCGAGUUUUCAUCCGGCAAUUCCAUACGCUGCUGCCGGCCAGCUGCAACCAACACCUGACAGAGGCUUAUGAAUGCGCUUUUUCCCAUCUUCCUAAACCGGUAUACCCUCUAGCCGCUAACAAAAACUGUGAGGCCCAAGACCAUGUUCAAGUGGUUAGCCCGCAAUAAAGAAGAGAACAGGAGCAGUUUGCCUAAACCGCUGUCUGGUAUUACCUAAAAUCAUUUGCAUUUUAUUUCUGGAAGAUGCACAGGAAACCACAUAGGUAGCCAAUGCAUUGACUGCGAACGCACCAAGCAUGGUUUCAACUUCAAGUAACUGUUCCAACAGUGUCUUCUGUUUACCAUGAGUACCCAAUGAAAAGCCAAAAUACCAGUAUUUAUCUUCAGCUUGUAACCGAUGGAUGCCUCAUCACAUUUCCGCAGCACCGAGCUCCAGUCGCAGAUCAUUGUUUGUCCAGGGUAUUGGCUAUUACAGAAGGAGUAUUCCAUAGAGAAAAUUCAUCCAGAGAGCACAUAACUUGGCAAAAUGAAAUUCUGGACCAGCAUCACAUGAAAUUGUGAAGGCAUUCAUCGGACACACAAUCUAGAGUAACUCAAGUGAGCAACAAAGCUGGCAGGUCCGACUUUUGAUGUCCCUUGAAACUUGUUUGAAGAAUGGGCGGGUUAAAAUCUCUCCC
Long non-coding RNA from Lolium perenne, 1322 nucleotides. RefSeq lists it as uncharacterized. NCBI's taxonomy places the organism in Eukaryota, Viridiplantae, Streptophyta, Magnoliopsida, Poales, Poaceae. The record is from RefSeq and is a predicted model, not a curated record.